CCUACGGGAGGCAGCAGUGGGGAAUAUUGGACAAUGGGCGGAAGCCUGAUCCAGCAACGCCGCGUGAGGGAUGACGGCCUUCGGGUUGUAAACCUCUUUCAGUACCGACGAAGCGCCCGUUGUGGGUGGUGACGGUAGGUACAGAAGAAGCACCGGCCAACUACGUGCCAGCAGCCGCGGUAAUACGUAGGGUGCGAGCGUUGUCCGGAAUUAUUGGGCGUAAAGGGCUCGUAGGCGGUUUGUCGCGUCGGGAGUGAAAACACCGGGCUUAACUCGGUGCCUGCUUUCGAUACGGGCAGACUAGAGGUAUGCAGGGGAGAACGGAAUUCCUGGUGUAGCGGUGAAAUGCGCAGAUAUCAGGAGGAACACCGGUGGCGAAGGCGGUUCUCUGGGCAUUACCUGACGCUGAGGAGCGAAAGUGUGGGGAGCGAACAGGAUUAGAUACCCUGGUAGUCCACACCGUAAACGUUGGGCGCUAGGUGUGGGGCCUAUUCCAUGGGUUCCGUGCCGCAGCUAACGCAUUAAGCGCCCCGCCUGGGGAGUACGGCCGCAAGGCUAAAACUCAAAGGAAUGACGG
This 577-nucleotide ribosomal RNA is filed under the name uncultured bacterium. RNAcentral describes it as "bacterial SSU rRNA". It matches the Rfam family "Bacterial small subunit ribosomal RNA", at positions 338 to 916 of the family's 1533-position model. The record is from RNAcentral.